RNAcentral lists this small RNA (115 nucleotides) under Salmonella enterica. RNAcentral describes it as "partial RtT sRNA". It matches the Rfam family "RtT RNA", at positions 17 to 130 of the family's 130-position model. Rfam says of the family: This family represents a bacterial cis-regulatory element known as RtT RNA. The exact function of RtT is unknown although it is thought that it may be involved in changing the cellular response in relation to amino acid starvation. Lineage: Bacteria; Pseudomonadati; Pseudomonadota; Gammaproteobacteria; Enterobacterales; Enterobacteriaceae. RNAcentral also lists the same sequence under 1 other name. The record is from RNAcentral.
GAAGGAUGAGAAGCUUCGACUAAGGUUCGAUUCGAGCGCAGCGAGAAAGCGUUGCCGUAGGCAACGACCCGAAGGGCGAAGCGCGCAGCGCUGAGUCAUCCUUCCCCCACCACCA